RNAcentral lists this ribosomal RNA (1362 nucleotides) under Escherichia coli. RNAcentral's name for it is "partial 23S ribosomal RNA". It matches the Rfam family "Bacterial large subunit ribosomal RNA", at positions 367 to 1735 of the family's 2925-position model. Lineage: Bacteria; Pseudomonadati; Pseudomonadota; Gammaproteobacteria; Enterobacterales; Enterobacteriaceae. The record is from RNAcentral.
ACAGCCCCGUACACAAAAAUGCACAUAUUGUGAGCUCGAUGAGUAGGGCGGGACACGUGGUAUCCUGUCUGAAUAUGGGGGGACCAUCCUCCAAGGCUAAAUACUCCUGACUGACCGAUAGUGAACCAGUACCGUGAGGGAAAGGCGAAAAGAACCCCGGCGAGGGGAGUGAAAAAGAACCUGAAACCGUGUACGUACAAGCAGUGGGAGCACGCUCAGGCGUGUGACUGCGUACCUUUUGUAUAAUGGGUCAGCGACUUAUAUUCUGUAGCAAGGUUAACCGAAUAGGGGAGCCGAAGGGAAACCGAGUCUUAACUGGGCGUUAAGUUGCAGGGUAUAGACCCGAAACCCGGUGAUCUAGCCAUGGGCAGGUUGAAGGUUGGGUAACACUAACUGGAGGACCGAACCGACUAAUGUUGAAAAAUUAGCGGAUGACUUGUGGCUGGGGGUGAAAGGCCAAUCAAACCGGGAGAUAGCUGGUUCUCCCCGAAAGCUAUUUAGGUAGCGCCUCGUGAAUUCAUCUCCGGGGGUAGAGCACUGUUUCGGCAAGGGGGUCAUCCCGACUUACCAACCCGAUGCAAACUGCGAAUACCGGAGAAUGUUAUCACGGGAGACACACGGCGGGUGCUAACGUCCGUCGUGAAGAGGGAAACAACCCAGACCGCCAGCUAAGGUCCCAAAGUCAUGGUUAAGUGGGAAACGAUGUGGGAAGGCCCAGACAGCCAGGAUGUUGGCUUAGAAGCAGCCAUCAUUUAAAGAAAGCGUAAUAGCUCACUGGUCGAGUCGGCCUGCGCGGAAGAUGUAACGGGGCUAAACCAUGCACCGAAGCUGCGGCAGCGACACUAUGUGUUGUUGGGUAGGGGAGCGUUCUGUAAGCCUGCGAAGGUGUACUGUGAGGUAUGCUGGAGGUAUCAGAAGUGCGAAUGCUGACAUAAGUAACGAUAAAGCGGGUGAAAAGCCCGCUCGCCGGAAGACCAAGGGUUCCUGUCCAACGUUAAUCGGGGCAGGGUGAGUCGACCCCUAAGGCGAGGCCGAAAGGCGUAGUCGAUGGGAAACAGGUUAAUAUUCCUGUACUUGGUGUUACUGCGAAGGGGGGACGGAGAAGGCUAUGUUGGCCGGGCGACGGUUGUCCCGGUUUAAGCGUGUAGGCUGGUUUUCCAGGCAAAUCCGGAAAAUCAAGGCUGAGGCGUGAUGACGAGGCACUACGGUGCUGAAGCAACAAAUGCCCUGCUUCCAGGAAAAGCCUCUAAGCAUCAGGUAACAUCAAAUCGUACCCCAAACCGACACAGGUGGUCAGGUAGAGAAUACCAAGGCGCUUGAGAGAACUCGGGUGAAGGAACUAGGCAAAAUGGUGCCGUAACU